AUGAAGGCCAAGUGGCUGGCGAUUGCGAAAGUGCACACGUCCAGGGGCUUUAGCCCGAGCGCCUUGUUUGCAGACAUGAGAUCUGCUUGGAAUCCUGCAAAGGAGGUGAUUUGGAGAAGUGUUGAUGAUAAUCUGUUCACAGUGCAAUUCGGCUGCCUGGGAGAUUGGAAUAAGGCGAUGACGAUGGGGCCGUGGUUUUUCCGCGACCACGCUUUGAUGAUAGAGGAAUAUGACAGUUUUGCUAACCCUAGAUCGUUGGUCUUGAAUAAGAUCAUAGUUUGGGCUCAGGUUCACAAGCCGAUGGGAGAGGUUAAAGAGGUUCAGAUCAAGAUCCCAUCGGGCUUCAUGGGAAAAUUCAUGAGAGUAAAGGUCAAUAUGAGGGUGGAUAAGAAGAUCACACGUUUUGUGUCCAUAACAAAGGAUGAGAAGGAGUGGUACCAAGUAAAAUAUGAAAAAUUGCCUACGUUCUGUGGUUUCUGUGGUCUCAUGGGGCACUGGCAUGAGGAGUGCGGCAAUGGUGAGAAUGACGAGGAUACCCUGGAGUGGGGAGAUUUUAUACUGGCUGAUGGAGGACAUGGUAGAGGAAGAGGAAGGGGUGGAGGACGACACCCAGGGGGACGAUCAGCUGCUGCAGAUAACCCUUUUGGGAGGGGACGAGCUUCUAAUACAGUUAAUCCUUUUGGGAGGGGGCGUGGUUCUGAUGAUGCAGAUGUUGUAGGAGUGAACCCUGGCCAAGGUCAGACAAACCAACCAGCCUCUGGGAGCGAUGGUGUGCUUGGCAAGAGAAUAGCUGCAGACUCUGUAUCCACUCCCGUGAGUGAGCCCGCGGCUGUGGAAUCAAAGCUAUCUGGAGCGAUUUUGGUAGCACAUAAAGGGGCGACUAACACAGAAGAUGAUGAUCUGCGUGUCGGGGAAAGUAGUGUGGCUGAUCCAAUGAGCACCCCAUAG
This 948-nucleotide ribosomal RNA is filed under the name Triticum aestivum (bread wheat). RNAcentral describes it as "partial small subunit ribosomal RNA". The record is from RNAcentral. Lineage: Eukaryota; Viridiplantae; Streptophyta; Magnoliopsida; Poales; Poaceae.